UACAGAGGGUGCAAGCGUUGUUCGGAAUCAUUGGGCGUAAAGCGCACGUAGGCGGCUUUGCAAGUCAGGUGUGAAAGCCUGGGGCUCGACCCCAGAAGUGCACUUGAAACUGCAGAGCUUGAGUCUUGGAGAGGGCAGUGGAAUUCCGAGUGUAGAGGUGAAAUUCGUAGAUAUUCGGAGGAACACCAGUGGCGAAGGCGACUGCCUGGACAAAGACUGACGCUGAGGUGCGAAAGCGUGGGGAGCAAACAGG
This 253-nucleotide ribosomal RNA is filed under the name uncultured bacterium. RNAcentral describes it as "partial 16S ribosomal RNA". It matches the Rfam family "Bacterial small subunit ribosomal RNA", at positions 524 to 776 of the family's 1533-position model. The record is from RNAcentral.